UUGUCUCAAAGAUUAAGCCAUGCAUGUCUCAGUACAAGCCAAAUUAAGGUGAAACCGCGAAAGGCUCAUUAAAUCAGUUAUGGUUCCUUAGAUCGUACCACAAUUACUUGGAUAACUGUGGUAAUUCUAGAGCUAAUACAUGCAAACAGAGUCCCGACCGGAGACGGAAGGGACGCUUUUAUUAGAUCAAAACCAAUCGGUGACGGGUUUCGGCUCGUCAUCGUACAACUUGGUGACUCUGAAUAACUUUAUGCUGAUCGCACGGUCUUGCACCGGCGACGCAUCUUUCAAAUGUCUGCCUUAUCAACUGUCGAUGGUAGGUUCUGCGCCUACCAUGGUUGUAACGGGUAACGGGGAAUCAGGGUUCGAUUCCGGAGAGGGAGCCUGAGAAACGGCUACCACAUCCAAGGAAGGCAGCAGGCGCGCAAAUUACCCACUCCCAGCACGGGGAGGUAGUGACGAAAAAUAACGAUACGGGACUCAUCCGAGGCCCCGUAAUCGGAAUGAGUACACUCUAAAUCCUUUAACGAGGAUCAAUUGGAGGGCAAGUCUGGUGCCAGCAGCCGCGGUAAUUCCAGCUCCAAUAGCGUAUAUUAAAGUUGUUGCGGUUAAAAAGCUCGUAGUCGAACUUGUGUCCCACGCCGCCGGUUCAUCGCUCGCGGUGUUAACUGGCGUGUCGAGGGACGUCCUGCCGGUGGGCUUAGCUCGCAAGGGCGGCCCAACUCAAUCCCGCCGCGGUGCUCUUCACUGAGUGUCGAGGUGGGCCGGCACGUUUACUUUGAACAAAUUAGAGUGCUUAAAGCAGGCUAAAAUUUUGCCUGAAUAUUCUGUGCAUGGAAUAAUGAAAUAGGACCUCGGUUCUAUUUUGUUGGUUUUCGGAACCCCGAGGUAAUGAUUAAUAGGAACUGAUGGGGGCAUUCGUAUUGCGACGUUAGAGGUGAAAUUCUUGGACCGUCGCAAGACGGACAGAAGCGAAAGCAUUUGCCAAAAAUGUUUUCAUUGAUCAAGAACGAAAGUUAGAGGUUCGAAGGCGAUCAGAUACCGCCCUAGUUCUAACCAUAAACGAUGCCAGCUAGCGAUCCGCCGACGUUCCUCCGAUGACUCGGCGGGCAGCUUCCGGGAAACCAAAGCUUUUGGGUUCCGGGGGAAGUAUGGUUGCAAAGCUGAAACUUAAAGGAAUUGACGGAAGGGCACCACCAGGAGUGGAGCCUGCGGCUUAAUUUGACUCAACACGGGAAACCUCACCAGGCCCGGACACCGGAAGGAUUGACAGAUUGAGAGCUCUUUCUUGAUUCGGUGGGUGGUGGUGCAUGGCCGU
RNAcentral lists this ribosomal RNA (1318 nucleotides) under Rentoniidae gen. sp. 2 MB-2019. Its description in RNAcentral is "SSU rRNA". It matches the Rfam family "Eukaryotic small subunit ribosomal RNA", at positions 32 to 1291 of the family's 1831-position model. The record is from RNAcentral. Lineage: Eukaryota; Metazoa; Arthropoda; Insecta; Coleoptera; Rentoniidae.